This 497-nucleotide ribosomal RNA is filed under the name uncultured bacterium. RNAcentral describes it as "partial 16S ribosomal RNA". It matches the Rfam family "Bacterial small subunit ribosomal RNA", at positions 28 to 507 of the family's 1533-position model. The record is from RNAcentral.
GAUGAACGCUGGCGGCGUACCUAAGACAUGCAAGUCGAGCGAACUGACGAGAAGCUUGCUUAUCUGAAGUUAGCGACGGACGGAUGAGUAACACGUGGAUAACCUACCUAUAAAACUGAGAGAACUUAGGGAAACCGAAGCUAGUACCUACUAAUAAUGUGAAAGGCAUGAUUCAAAAAUGAAAGACAGGCUUGCUGUCACUAAUAGAUGGAUCCGCGCUGCAUUAGCUAGUUGGUAAGGUAACGGCUUACCAAGGCAACGAUGCAUAGCCGACCUGAGAGGGUGAUCGGUCACACUGGAACUGAGACACGCUCCAGACUCCUAAGGGAGGCACGAGUAGGGAAUCUUCCGCAAUGGGCGAACGCGUGAAGGAGCUACGCCGCGUGAGUGAUGCAGGUCUUCGGCUCGUAAAACUCUGUUAUUUGGGAAGUACAUAUGUGUAAGUAACUGGGAACAUCUUGACGGUACCUAAUCAGAAAGCCACGGCUAACUACGUG